AGGCGUCCGCACGGGAGCCCGGGGCACGGGCUGAGAGGGAGCUGCCGCUCCGACCGUGGAACCUGAUCCGGGUCAUGCCGGCGCAGGGAGCGUGAUUCCCAUGACG
Molecule: non-coding RNA, 106 nt
Filed under: Amycolatopsis australiensis
Lineage: Bacteria; Bacillati; Actinomycetota; Actinomycetes; Pseudonocardiales; Pseudonocardiaceae
Description: TPP sequence
Rfam family: TPP riboswitch aptamer (THI element)
About the family: Vitamin B(1) in its active form thiamin pyrophosphate (TPP) is an essential coenzyme that is synthesised by coupling of pyrimidine and thiazole moieties in bacteria. The previously detected thiamin-regulatory element, thi box was extended, resulting in a new, highly conserved RNA secondary structure, the THI element, which is widely distributed in eubacteria and also occurs in some archaea. Analysis of operon structures identified a large number of new candidate thiamin-regulated genes, mostly transporters, in various prokaryotic organisms.
Source: RNAcentral